AACGAACGCUGGCGGCAUGCCUAACACAUGCAAGUCGAACGAGACCUUCGGGUCUUGUGGCGCACGGGUGCGUACCGCGUGGGAACCUGCCCUUAGGUUCGGAAUCACUCCCCGAAAGGGGUGCUAAUACAGGAUAAUGUCUUCCGACCAAAGAUUUAUCGCCUUUGGAUGGGCCCGCGUGGGAUUAGCUAGUUGGUAGGGUAAAAGACUACCAAGGCGAAGAUCCAUAGCUGGUCUGAGAGGAUGCUCAGCCACACUGGGACUGGGACACGGCCCAGAUUCCUGCGGAAGGAAGCAGUGGGGAAUGUUGGACGAUGGGCGAAAGACGGAGCCAGCAAUGCCGCGUGAGUGAUGAAGGCCUGAGGGUUGUAAAGCUCUUUUACCCGGGAUGAUAAUGACAGUACCGUAAGAAUAAGAUCCGGCUAACUCCGUG
RNAcentral lists this ribosomal RNA (433 nucleotides) under uncultured bacterium. RNAcentral's name for it is "partial 16S ribosomal RNA". It matches the Rfam family "Bacterial small subunit ribosomal RNA", at positions 29 to 507 of the family's 1533-position model. The record is from RNAcentral.